UGCGAAAACAUAAAGACGAUAUGCAAGUCAAUGUGGCAGGUUUACGUCGCAAUAUUAAAAAUUUAGCUCACAAUUACUCUGAUGCUCAGGUUAAAGUACGUGAGGCUACUUCAAAUGAUCCAUGGGGUCCCUCAGCCACUAUAAUGGCGGAAAUCGCCGAAUUAACCAACAAUGUGGUGGCCUUUUCUGAAAUAAUGCAAAUGAUUUGGAAACGUCUUAAUGAUCAUGGCAAAAAUUGGCGUCAUGUCUAUAAGGCUCUCAUACUGUUGGAAUAUCUUAUAAAAACUGGCAAUGAAAAAGUCUCCCAACAGUGCAAAGAAAAUAUAUUUGCCAUACAAACACUACGUGAAUUUACGUAUUUUGAGGAGGGCAAAGAUCAAGGUACUCAUGUAAGGGAAAAGGCUAAACAAUUGGUGAAUCUUUUGAAGGAUGAUGAACGCUUAAAGAAUGAACGUGUUAAAGCUUUGAAGGCCAAGGAACGUUUUGCUCAAUAUCCAAGUGGUUUUGGUAGUGAUGGUUAUAUUGAUGGUCCUUUGCAACGUGAUUUACGUGAUAUGCCUCCCGGCUGGCAAGAGGAACCAGCCAAACCUGUAUCCGAGCUGGAAAUGGUACGUCCACAAACUGCGGGCGAAGAAGAAUUACAACUACAAUUGGCCAUGGCCAUGUCACGCGAAGAAGCUGAACAGGAAGAGGCUAAACGCCGCAGUGAUGAUGUUCGUCUACAGUUGGCUUUAAGUCAAAGUGAACAAGAUUUUAAGGUGCAAAAACAACACGACGAAGAGCCACAAUCACAUUUAUUGGAUCUUUUGGAUAUACAACUGGGAGCCACUAGCAUUUCCAGUCCACCUUUAGGUUUAGCCGCUGGCGGCUUAACCAACAAUCCAUCAGAUCCUUGGGGUACACCAGCACGAGCGGCUAGUCAAAUGUCUGAUCCUUGGACUGGUACAGCUUCACCACCGGUUGAUCCCUGGCAACCAACUGCAGCAUCACGUUCCACUCCCCUGGCACAAAUGGGAGCCGUAGGCGGCUUAGGCGCCCUCACAAUGGCUACCAAUGGCACUAAUGGCGGUGAAGCUUGGGGUGGUUUGCGUACACAAUCACCUUCGGUUACAUCGGGUUCCUCCGCCGAAGGCUGGCUACAAACUAAUGGUAAUACUCAAAAUUCCACAAAUUUAACAGGCGCUAUAGGAGGUGCUGGCGCAUCGAUCGAUCCUUGGCUUUCAAAACAAUCAGUUAGUGCGCUGGCAGCGCCUGUCUCUAAUUCAGCACCCUUAGAUCCAUGGUUAUCAGAAAAUGCUAAACCACCCACUGCAGCUGCUGUUCCUUCAACAACUAAACCAUUGAUUGAUGAUCCUUGGGCACCAAAGACAUUAACAGCUGGCAAUGAUGAUCCCUGGAAGAAUAUUGAGAAUACAACAGUAGCUAAGAAACCUUCACCUGAUAUGGACGAAUUUGAUAUAAUAACGAAUCGUAAUAAGACUGGUGAUUUAUUAACAACUAAUGAUUCCACAACAAAUAUCAGUAAUAAUAAUGCUCUACUACUUGAUGAUUUAGAUCCUCUAUCCUCGUCAACGUCAACCACAACAAAUUCGACUGGAGCAACAGCUAAGAAACCGCUUAAAGAUCCACAAUCAUUUUUGGGUGAAAAUUCUGGUUUGGUUAAUUUAGAUAAUUUAAUAAAGCCUGCCGUACCACAAACUACAGCAACAAAUGCCGCAGCUUAUAAUCCAUUUAGUGAUACAGUUAUACCACCAAAAACAAAUCUAUUCCAACAACAGCAACCAGCAGUGCCGUCCAUAAAUCAAUUAAAACAACAAAGUUUUCAAAUGACCAUCAAUCAAGAUCCUUGGGCACCUAUUAAUAAUACAAAUGUAGCAGCUUCUCAGGCAAUAACAAUGCGACCAACAAAUCUUAUGGUCCCAACUAUAGUCAUGCCCUAUCGGCAUCCUUGGCUUCCACUCCUGGAGUAACUAUAAUGCCACUGAAUAAUAAAUCAAGCUCAGCUUCAAAUCUAUUCAAUUAUGGCUUUUAUAAUUCAAAUAAUGAAUUCAAUACUACUAAUCAAUAUCAAUUGGAAAACAACAAUAACAUGCCUUGGAUGAAACCGGAAGCAACAGCAUCGAAUCCAUUUUUGUCAUAAACAAUAUAACAAAAGAAGCGAUAAAUUCAAAAAAAAAAAAAAAAAUAUUUAUAUAAUUUUGUUUAUUAUUUUUUUCUAUAAAUUAAGUCGAUAAAUUAUAUAUAAUUUUUCCUAGUUGAACAAAUUAAUUACAACAAGUAAACAAAAAUCAACAUGUUUUAAAUUUUUGGAAAAUAAUUUAUACACACUUAUACACACACAUAAAUGCCUAUAAAUAAAUUAUUUAAAAAAAAUAAGAAAAACGAUAAAAGAUAAAAAAGAAACACAAAAAUUAAUUCAAUAAUAUUUUUUAUGUAAAUGUAGAUUAAAACAAGGAUGAUGAGAUGAUGAUAAGAAAAAAAAAAACGAUUAUAAAU
Molecule: unclassified non-coding RNA, 2496 nt
Filed under: Lucilia cuprina (Australian sheep blowfly)
Lineage: Eukaryota; Metazoa; Arthropoda; Insecta; Diptera; Calliphoridae
Description: epsin-1, transcript variant X7
Source: RNAcentral